Non-coding RNA from Xenopus laevis (African clawed frog), 85 nucleotides. Lineage: Eukaryota; Metazoa; Chordata; Amphibia; Anura; Pipidae. The record is from Rfam.
UUGUGUGAGUUGCUCUGACAGUGUUGCACUACUGUGAUCUCAAAUGAAGCAGUGCAAUAGUAUUGUCAAAGCAUUUCAUUCCAGC